AGGCACGUAGCUCAGGGGGAGAGCGCUACCUUGACACGGUAGAGGUCGGCGGUUCGAAACCGCCCGUGCCUACCA
Molecule: transfer RNA, 75 nt
Filed under: Myxococcales bacterium
Lineage: Bacteria; Pseudomonadati; Myxococcota; Myxococcia; Myxococcales
Also listed under: 1 other name
Description: tRNA-Val
Rfam family: tRNA
About the family: Transfer RNA (tRNA) molecules are approximately 80 nucleotides in length.
Source: RNAcentral